GAUGAACGCUGGCGGCGUGCCUAACACAUGCAAGUCGAGCGAUCUUCUUCGGAAGAGAGCGGCGGACGGGUGAGUAACGCGUGGGUAACCUGCCCUGUACACACGGAUAACAUACCGAAAGGUAUGCUAAUACGAGAUAAUACGCUUUUGUCGCAUGGUAGAAGUAUCAAAGCUCCGGCGGUACAGGAUGGACCCGCGUCUGAUUAGCUAGUUGGUAAGGUAACGGCUUACCAAGGCGACGAUCAGUAGCCGACCUGAGAGGGUGAUCGGCCACAUUGGAACUGAGACACGGUCCAAACUCCUACGGGAGGCAGCAGUGGGGAAUAUUGCACAAUGGGCGAAAGCCUGAUGCAGCAACGCCGCGUGAGCGAUGAAGGCCUUCGGUCGUAAGACUCUGUCCUCAAGGAAGAUAAUGACGGUACUUGAGGAGGAAGCCCGGCUAACUACGUGCCAGCAGCCGCGGUAAU
Molecule: ribosomal RNA, 467 nt
Filed under: uncultured bacterium
Lineage: Bacteria
Description: bacterial SSU rRNA
Rfam family: Bacterial small subunit ribosomal RNA
Source: RNAcentral